UACGGAAGCAGCAGUGGGGAAUAUUGCACAAUGGGCCGAAAGCCUGAUGCAGCGACGCCGCGUGAGGGAUGACGGCCUUCGGGUUGUAAACCUCUUUCAGUAGGGACGAAGCGUGAGUGACGGUACCUACAGAAGAAGCACCGGCUAACUACGUGCCAGCAGCCGCGGUAAUACGUAGGGUGCGAGCGUUGUCCGGAAUUAUUGGGCGUAAAGAGCUCGUAGGCGGUUUGUUGCGUCGGCUGUGAAAACCUACAGCUUAACUGUGGGCCUGCAGUCGAUACGGGCAGACUUGAGUUCGGCAGGGGAGACUGGAAUUCCUGGUGUAGCGGUGAAAUGCGCAGAUAUCAGGAGGAACACCGGUGGCGAAGGCGGGUCUCUGGGCCGAUACUGACGCUGAGGAGCGAAAGCGUGGGGAGCGAACAGGAUUAGAUACCCUGGUAGUCCACGCCGUAAACGGUGGGUGCUAGGUGUGGGGGACUUCCACGUCCUCCGUGCCGCAGCUAACGCAUUAAGCACACCGCCUGGAAAGUCAAACCAAAGG
RNAcentral lists this ribosomal RNA (541 nucleotides) under bacterium 347. Its description in RNAcentral is "bacterial SSU rRNA". It matches the Rfam family "Bacterial small subunit ribosomal RNA", at positions 340 to 893 of the family's 1533-position model. The record is from RNAcentral.